Biomphalaria glabrata is the source of this 84-nucleotide non-coding RNA. Lineage: Eukaryota; Metazoa; Mollusca; Gastropoda; Planorbidae. The record is from Rfam.
GUCAGGAUGGCCGAGUGGUCUAAGGCGCUGCGUUCAGGUCGCAGUCUACUCUUGUAGGCGUGGGUUCAAAUCCCACUUCUGACA